This 225-nucleotide ribosomal RNA is filed under the name uncultured Eubacteriales bacterium. RNAcentral describes it as "uncultured Clostridiales bacterium partial 16S ribosomal RNA". It matches the Rfam family "Bacterial small subunit ribosomal RNA", at positions 109 to 334 of the family's 1533-position model. Lineage: Bacteria; Bacillati; Bacillota; Clostridia; Eubacteriales. The record is from RNAcentral.
AGUAACGCGUGAGUAACCUGCCUUACACAAGGGGAUAGCCUUUGGAAACGAAGAAUAAUACCCUAUAAAACCAUAAAAGCACAUGCUAGAAUGGUCAAAGUGAUAGCGGUGUAAGAUGGACUUGCGUCUGAUUAGCUAGUUGGUGAGAUAAAAGCUCACCAAGGCAACGAUCAGUAGCCGGCUUGAGAGAGUGUACGGCCACAUUGGGACUGAGACACUGCCCAG